This 308-nucleotide ribosomal RNA is filed under the name uncultured bacterium. Its description in RNAcentral is "partial 16S ribosomal RNA". It matches the Rfam family "Bacterial small subunit ribosomal RNA", at positions 505 to 807 of the family's 1533-position model. The record is from RNAcentral.
GAGACAGCAGCAGCCGCGGGAAUACAGAGGGUGCGAGCGUUAAUCGGAUUUACUGGGCGUAAAGCGUGCGUAGGCGGCUUCUUAAGUCGGAUGUGAAAUCCCUGAGCUUAACUUAGGAAUUGCAUUCGAUACUGGGAAGCUAGAGUAUGGGAGAGGAUGGUAGAAUUCCAGGUGUAGCGGUGAAAUGCGUAGAGAUCUGGAGGAAUACCGAUGGCGAAGGCAGCCAUCUGGCCUAAUACUGACGCUGAGGUACGAAAGCAUGGGGAGCAAACAGGAUUAGAGACCCCAGUAGUCCCUGUCUCUUAUAC